Molecule: ribosomal RNA, 346 nt
Filed under: uncultured bacterium
Lineage: Bacteria
Description: bacterial SSU rRNA
Rfam family: Bacterial small subunit ribosomal RNA
Source: RNAcentral
GGGCCCGCACAAGCGGUGGAGCAUGUGGUUUAAUUCGAUGCAACGCGAAGAACCUUACCAGGGCUUGACAUACUACAAACUCUUUUGAAAAAAAAUGAAGUGCCUUCGGGAAUGUAGAUACAGGUGGUGCAUGGCUGUCGUCAGCUCGUGUCGUGAGAUGUUGGGUUAAGUCCCGCAACGAGCGCAACCCUUAUCUUUAGUUACGUUUUACGAAACUCUAAAGAGACUGCCGGUGAUAAACCGGAGGAAGGUGAGGAUGACGUCAAGUCAGCAUGCCCCUUACACCCUGGCUACACACGUGCUACAAUGGCCGGGACAAUGAGUUGCGAUCUCGCGAGAGUCAGCU